GAAACCUAUAGAACUGCUAACAGUUCCUUUCAGAGGUGAGGGAGGUUGUUUUACUUCAAGUAUCAGAUAAACUCUGUUAGCUCAAAAGGUAAUGUUCACUGGCUUGCACUAAAAAGAUUGAAAUGCAGAUGCAGAAUCGAUUAAGAGAUGACAUAGCAUGUGGAAUCUAAUAGCCAAAACACAUGGUCGGAUUUGGUACGUCCGUACCAUCGGAUGGUUCGUUGAGCGCCUCUCGCCAAUUGUAACGGCAAAUAAACACUGGCCAGCUACAAGUUUGGAAUAAAAAACUUCAAUGCGCUUUGUACGCAAGCGCAGAAUUUAUCAAGUGAUGCCUCUGUUUCUUUUUAUUUGUAACCUUUGAAAGUUUUUG
This is a long non-coding RNA of Leptidea sinapis, 370 nucleotides long. RefSeq lists it as uncharacterized. Lineage: Eukaryota; Metazoa; Arthropoda; Insecta; Lepidoptera; Pieridae. The transcript is spliced from 3 exons. The record is from RefSeq and is a predicted model, not a curated record.